GUAUGCAGCAUGGCGUGUGGAGGUUACACAUCAUGCCGUGUGAUGCUGGAAUACGCUGCAUAGUGGGUGAUCUUCUUAUCCAGUGGUGCGC
RNAcentral lists this microRNA precursor (91 nucleotides) under Ornithorhynchus anatinus (platypus). RNAcentral describes it as "microRNA oan-mir-1421w precursor". The stretch from base 11 to 84 matches the Rfam family "mir-1421 microRNA precursor family". Lineage: Eukaryota; Metazoa; Chordata; Mammalia; Monotremata; Ornithorhynchidae. The record is from miRBase by way of RNAcentral.